Molecule: ribosomal RNA, 492 nt
Filed under: uncultured bacterium
Lineage: Bacteria
Description: partial 16S ribosomal RNA
Rfam family: Bacterial small subunit ribosomal RNA
Source: RNAcentral
AGUGAACGCUGGCGGUAGGCCUAACACAUGCAAGUCGAACGGCAGCACAGUAAGAGCUUGCUCUUACGGGUGGCGAGUGGCGGACGGGUGAGGAAUACAUCGGAAUCUACUUUUUCGUGGGGGAUAACGUAGGGAAACUUACGCUAAUACCGCAUACGACAUACGGGUGAAAGCAGGGGAUCUUCGGACCUUGCGCGAUUGGAUGAGCCGAUGUCGGAUUAGCUAGUUGGCGGGGUAAAGGCCCACCAAGGCGACGAUCCGUAGCUGGUCUGAGAGGAUGAUCAGCCACACUGGAACUGAGACACGGUCCAGACUCCUACGGGAGGCAGCAGUGGGGAAUAUUGGACAAUGGGCGCAAGCCUGAUCCAGCCAUACCGCGUGGGUGAAGAAGGCCUUCGGGUUGUAAAGCCCUUUUGUUGGGAAAGAAAAGCAGCAGGUUAAUACCCCGCUGUUCUGACGGUACCCAAAGAAUAAGCACCGGCUAACUUCGUG